This is a long non-coding RNA of Peromyscus eremicus (cactus mouse), 514 nucleotides long. RefSeq lists it as uncharacterized. Lineage: Eukaryota; Metazoa; Chordata; Mammalia; Rodentia; Cricetidae. The transcript has 3 exons. The record is from RefSeq and is a predicted model, not a curated record.
UUUGACAUGACUGUAAGCAUCAUUUUCCUUAUGAAGACAGAAAGAGGGAAGGCAGAAACAGGAAGAUCCCUGGAAGCUUGCUGGCCAGCUGAUCAGUCACUAUGGGGGAACUCCCAAGUCAACAAGAAACUGUCUCAAAUAACAGAUAGAAGAUGAAAACAGAAGAACAUAAUAGAAAAGAAAGACUUCCAUGGGCCUGAGAAGAUGGCUCAGCAGAAAAAUAGUAUUAUCACCGCAGAAGAAAAGAAUAGCCGGGUGCUUCGUUGUUAACGGGAACCAGAAUCCUAUGAUUCUGAUGACUUAUUGGAGGUUUCAUCGUCUGAGGACCUUGCUACAGCUCAGGAUACAGAUGGGCUCUUGGAGGAUGGAGUGUCUGCCUGUUUAUAUUCUUCUUGACACAAUCCCAAGAGGGUUAGAUUCAACAAUCACAGAGAAGUUUGCUCUCCAUUUGUUUUGAUGAGUAGUGCAAUACACACAAUACCAAUAAAUCCUGUAAAUGGUUGUUCUUAUAUAA